Molecule: ribosomal RNA, 253 nt
Filed under: uncultured bacterium
Lineage: Bacteria
Description: partial 16S ribosomal RNA
Rfam family: Bacterial small subunit ribosomal RNA
Source: RNAcentral
UACGAAGGGGGCUAGCGUUGCUCGGAAUCACUGGGCGUAAAGCGCACGUAGGCGGAUCUUUAAGUCAGGGGUGAAAUCCUGGAGCUCAACUCCAGAACUGCCUUUGAUACUGAGGAUCUUGAGUCCGGGAGAGGUGAGUGGAACUCCGAGUGUAGAGGUGAAAUUCGUAGAUAUUCGGAAGAACACCAGUGGCGAAGGCGACUUACUGGACACAUAUUGACGCUGAGGUGCGAAAGCGUGGGGAGCAAACAGG